CUACCAUGGCUUUCACGGGUAACGGAGGAUUAGGGUUCGAUUCCGGAGAGGGAGCCUGAGAAACGGCUACCACAUCUAAGGAAGGCAGCAGGCGCGUAAAUUACCCAAUUCUGACUCAGAGAGGUAGUGACAAGAAAUAACGGGUCGGGACUUCUGUCCCGGGACUGUAAUGAACCGAAUUUACACAACUUAGCCAGGAACAAUUGGAGGGCAAGUCUGGUGCCAGCAGCCGCGGUAAUUCCAGCUCCAAUAGCGUAUAUUAAAGUUGUUGCAGUUAAAAAGCUCGUAGUUGGAUUUCUGGCAGGAUGACUUCGCCCUCUGUUGAGUGCGCGAAGAUAUCUUACCAUCCUUCUGUUAAAGUUAGACUUCUUUACCGAAGUCUUUCCAGCCCAGAUAUUUUACCUUGAGAAAAUUAGAGUGUUUCAGGCGGCUCGCGCCGGAAUACAUUAGCAUGGAAUAAUGGAAUAGGACUUUUACCUCUUCUGUUGGUCAUGGGGUUUGAGUAAUGGUUAAUAGGGAUAGUUGGGGGCAUUAGUACUUCACUGUCAGAGGUGAAAUUCUCGGAUUUGUGAAAGACUAACUUAUGCGGAAGCAUUUGCCAAGGAUGUUUUCAUUAAUCAA
RNAcentral lists this ribosomal RNA (621 nucleotides) under Ciliophora sp. RNAcentral's name for it is "SSU rRNA". It matches the Rfam family "Eukaryotic small subunit ribosomal RNA", at positions 341 to 980 of the family's 1831-position model. The record is from RNAcentral. Lineage: Eukaryota; Ciliophora.